RNAcentral lists this long non-coding RNA (252 nucleotides) under Elaeis guineensis (African oil palm). RNAcentral's name for it is "long non-coding RNA (EGUI_LNC057049)". Lineage: Eukaryota; Viridiplantae; Streptophyta; Magnoliopsida; Arecales; Arecaceae. The record is from RNAcentral.
GCGCUCCAUCUUCUCAUGUAGUGAAUAAAUUCACCAUGCAAAUUUUUGGCAUAUCAGAUACUUGUAGUAGAAGGAAACUCUCUCUUCUAUGUGUCAUAAAAAACCCAAUCAAUUUUGGUAUUAAAUUAUAGGAUAUUUGGUUUAUCUUUUAAGGCAAUGCGUAUAAUUAAGAGCCUUCUUUAAGAAGGACUCUCCAUUUCACACGCCAAUUUGAGAUGGGGUGGCAUUUAUUUUUUAUGCAACUUCUGGUAG